Molecule: long non-coding RNA, 791 nt
Organism: Rosa rugosa (rugosa rose)
Lineage: Eukaryota; Viridiplantae; Streptophyta; Magnoliopsida; Rosales; Rosaceae
Exons: 5
Source: RefSeq, a predicted model, not a curated record
CAUUCAAGAAUCGGCAAGAAUCAUCAAGUUUUUCAUCAAGAUGAGGUGAACAUUGUGCCUAAUCAGAUUCAAGUUUUAAUGUAAGGGUAGAUAUGGUGUAUGAUGCCUGUCUAAAUAUACCCUAGAUUGCUUAUUAAUCUUUUAUAGUUACAAGUUGAUCAUGGAAAUUCUUAUGUACAGUUCUUAUAGCAAAUUAGUUUUGCAGUACAUAGAUAUGAUCACUGAACACUGUAAUUUUAUUAACAUAAUACAGGUUCUCUAGCUUGACGUCAAAUGCAUCUGUAUGCUGAGAGUUGGAAUGUUUUUGCAAGGUCUGAUGGCUGAAUUUGUUGGUUGUUAAAAAUCAGAACAAGCUUCAGAUCUGAAUGUUGGUGACCCAUCUACUGUGGAGGUGGCUACGAGUUGACCAUAGUACGAGUGGUAAGUUUUGUCAUCUAGGCAACAACCAAGGUAGAACUGAAAAAUUGAGGGUUAGAGAAGCUGGUGAGUUGCAAUGACCUGCGCCAAAUGAGACAAAGCUCAGAAGUCAACAAGGGCCAGGUAAUGUGAAAGCUAAUGCAGCGGAUUAUGAGAGUGUUCAAGCUGAUCAACGGAACCUGCUAUAUAAAGCUAAUGAAUUAAAUCAACAAAAUGUGCAAUCUAAAACUGCAGUAGUUGAACACAAACAACAGGGUGGAGUGGAGAAACUUGACCAAUGCUGCCUUGAAGAUAUCCGAGAUUACAAGCAUGGUGGAAAAAACAACUGAAGUUAGGAGAAUGAAGGAGGAAUUGCAAAGAUACACUUUAAUUCA